Molecule: ribosomal RNA, 490 nt
Filed under: uncultured bacterium
Lineage: Bacteria
Description: partial 16S ribosomal RNA
Rfam family: Bacterial small subunit ribosomal RNA
Source: RNAcentral
GGUGAACGCUAGCUACAGGCUUAACACAUGCAAGUCGCGGGGCAGCAUGGGGGUUGCUUGCAAUCCCCGAUGGCGACCGGCGCACGGGUGAGUAACGCGUAUCCAACCUGCCCUUCACCACGGGAUAACCCGGCGAAAGUCGGACUAAUACCGUAUGUUGUCCAUUGACGGCAUCCGAAUUGGACGAAAGGGUUGGCGGUGAAGGAUGGGGAUGCGUCCGAUUAGCUGGACGGCGGGGUGACGGCCCACCGUGGCGACGAUCGGUAGGGGUUCUGAGAGGAAGGUCCCCCACACUGGAACUGAGACACGGUCCAGACUCCUACGGGAGGCAGCAGUGAGGAAUAUUGGUCAAUGGGCGUAAGCCUGAACCAGCCAAGUAGCGUGCAGGAUGACGGCCCUAUGGGUUGUAAACUGCUUUUAUGCGGGGAUAAAGUGGCCCACGUGUGGGUUUUUGCAGGUACCGCAUGAAUAAGGACCGGCUAAUUCCGUG